This 253-nucleotide ribosomal RNA is filed under the name uncultured bacterium. RNAcentral describes it as "partial 16S ribosomal RNA". It matches the Rfam family "Bacterial small subunit ribosomal RNA", at positions 524 to 776 of the family's 1533-position model. The record is from RNAcentral.
UACGUAGGGGGCAAGCGUUGUCCGGAUUUAUUGGGCGUAAAGAGCGUGUAGGCGGCCAGGCAGGUCCGUUGUGAAAACUCGAGGCUCAACCUCGAGACGUCGGCGGAAACCCUCUGGCUAGAGUCCGGAAGAGGAGAGUGGAAUUCCUGGUGUAGCGGUGAAAUGCGCAGAUAUCAGGAAGAACACCCGUGGCGAAGGCGGCUCUCUGGGACGGUACUGACGCUGAGACGCGAAAGCGUGGGGAGCAAACAGG